GCUAAUUUUAGCCCCUUGGCCAGGUCGGUUAGAAAUGACCUUAUUCAAUUGGAAAUAUUAGAUAAUGACAUAAUGUAACAUGAUAUGUUGGUUUAGUCGCAUUCACUAUAUUAUUAAAUUGUGAUAAUAUUAAGACUUAUUGUGGGUGUACUAAUUCCGCUGUAAUAUAAAACAAACUUGACAUCAAAUAUGAGUAAAAAUUAUUCACAUUGCAAACAAAUUUGCUAUUCAUAAAACAAUUUAAAAACUGAAAAUUUUGAAACUAAGAAAUGAUUCCCACUUUGAGAUUGAGAAAUGUUUUCAAAAAGAUACUUUCCCAAGUUCCGUAUUUAAAAUCGUAUUGGCUUUCGACCAAGGGCAUGCAUGCUGCCAAGAGGAUUGUGCUUUUGGAUUGGCUUUGGUCAGAAACCAACGGAUAAGGACAUCGACAAACAUAAUUCUUGCUUCUCUGGCUAAUUCGCUAUCUGCAGUGUUUAAUAUCCUAACUUGUCAUUUGGUUUAAGAUGUUGAAUAUAUACCAAGUUCUUUUGUGACUAAAUUAUGAAUUUAUGUUAUAGUUUGAUAAAUUUAUAAUAUUAAGAAAUUCAUGUCCACGAGAUUAUAGUUUAGCCAAUAAUUUCUCAAACGAAAGUGAUAGAAUUAACUAACUAAAGUGUUUAAACAAGAUGAUUUAGAUUUUUGGUGCAGGUAAAUUACACGAUAAUGGUCAUGGAAAACUGAAAUGUCUAUGUGAGUUUUUUUCAUCAAAUCCCAAAAAAGUGGACUAUCUUGACUUUGUCACCAGAUAGUCUCCUUUAAACAAAAGUGUUUAAACAAGAUGGGUACCAAAUG
RNAcentral lists this long non-coding RNA (831 nucleotides) under Malus domestica (apple). RNAcentral's name for it is "long non-coding RNA (MDOM_LNC001174)". Lineage: Eukaryota; Viridiplantae; Streptophyta; Magnoliopsida; Rosales; Rosaceae. The record is from RNAcentral.